CGCUCAUCGUGAAGAGGGAAGCUUCCUGUCGCGUGCAUGUGAACCCUGUGUGGCCAGUGCCAUCCACCGAAAUCUACAGACAUCUUGCGUGCUCCCGAGCUCUUUGCUCCUCUGCCCAGUGCAGGGUUCCAAGACCCGUAGGCUGUGCAGCCCUCCUGAAGACCGAUGGAAGCUCCCUGGGUCGACAGAUUACAGCUUCUGCACCCCCUGGGGUCCCCUACUCUCUUCAACUCCCUGGUGGAUGCCCGUUGUCCCUGGAGAGAAUGCUUGGAAAUAACAGCUUGGGCACACAGCGACCAUAAGAGAUGUCUCCAUCCUUCCAGACUGAUAGACCAUGUUGUUCCUUAGUGAGGAUUGUCCCCGGGCAUCUGGAGCUCGGUAUCCCGAAAGAAUAUGUGCAGUUUCCCGGAUUGCCUUUGGGAGUGUGUGAAGGUCCGUGCCCUGUGCCGCCAGAGGACAGCACCUGCCAGCGAGCCAUGGCCCUGAUGCGCCUUUGAGCAGCCUGCACAGCAGAGCAUCGGGCUUGUCUCCAGAGCGCUCCAGGAUUGUCAGCUGAUCUUUGCUGUCUGUGUCAGCAGUCCUCGCGUUGCAAGAAGUGACUGGAACAGGGGCCUUGCCAGGUGUUUGUGGACCCCAGAGGACCAGGGAGUGAACAGGAGGACCACCACUCAGUGAAACUGGGAACUGCCCACUCACAGAAUCCUGAAACAGCCUUUUUUUUUUUUAUUAUGUUUUGCAAUCGACUCAGGCAUGGGAGACUCCAACAUACACCUCAGAGGGCUAUGUCCUGUCCCCGUGUCCGUCUGCAGUGCCUGAAUGACAAGUACUUUUCUGUUGAACUUAUUGCUUACCUUUCCUGUUACUCUUCACCCCACCACCACCACACAUGCAUACAUUGUACAUUGUUCAAUAAACCUUACAGAUUAACUCAGCCUGCCUUUUAAAUCCAUGUCACCCCAUGAGCUCACAGGGCUGGGUGUGGAAAAGGAGGGCUAUAGGACAGCUUCUGUCUCUUGAUGUGCCUUUCCUGUUAAUGCACUCUGAGGCUUGGCUUCAGGGUGUUGGAAGUGGACAGGAAGGACUAGUAAGUAGCCUUUGUGCCUUUGAGAGAGUUGAGGGGUUACUGAACAGUCAAGGUCAGGAUUCUGGGAAGGAGCCUAUGUCAGGGUGCUUUAUGACAUGUCAGGAAGGAAGGCUAGGGUAUCAGUUCUAGGAGCAGUUGAGGAGCUUCCUAGGAAGUGAGACAAAUCAUUGCUAAAACUAAAAAAAUUGGAUGGUUAAGAUAAUUGGGCAGGAUGCUAAAAUAUGAAAAGUGAAACUAGUAACCUGUUUUCUUUUUUAUAGCAAUUAUAACAACUGCCUAUGCAAACAGUUGUGGCUGAAAGACUCCUGAUCUAUGAGAAGUCUUGAUGUGGGAUUUCCCUCUGUUGUAAAUAUGUUUUAUUGCCACUGGUUAAUAAAGAAGCUGCUUUUGGUCAAUGACUUAACAAUAUAGCCAGGCUAAAAAAGAGUAGGUGGAGUCAGACACCCACAGGACCGUACCAGAAAGUUACGAGCCUCAUAAAAUAUAAAGUAAAAAUGGGUUAAUCUAAGAUGUAAGAGUUUGCCCCUCCCCCAUCAUUGAUAAAGUUUAGGGAGGCCCCAUCUCAUGCAAAUGUUAUAUAGAUAAACACUGCCUCUUGCCAUGACAUGAGGAAAACUGCAUUGUGUCUAAGACAUAUUCUUGUUAAUGAUAUGUCCCCAUUUUCUAGCUCUUACAUCCUUUCUGCCCACUUUUCCAUAACACUCCCUGAACUUUGGAGGGUGUGGUGCAAAUGGCCCAUUUGGGACCUAGUGAGCGCUCCAUCAUCACUUUUCCCACCCAAUUGGUCGAGUGUCUGCAUAAACCACCACUGCACUCAGUUACUUUUCUGAUGAAGACUGAGGACAGCAUAAAUAUAGAUAUAAAUAUGAAUAUUUUAAGUAAAAAACAUGACCAUUUAGCAAUAGAAAUAGGUGCCCUAUUAGAACC
Molecule: long non-coding RNA, 2011 nt
Organism: Alexandromys fortis (reed vole)
Lineage: Eukaryota; Metazoa; Chordata; Mammalia; Rodentia; Cricetidae
Exons: 6
Source: RefSeq, a predicted model, not a curated record